RNAcentral lists this ribosomal RNA (898 nucleotides) under Paramyrothecium humicola. Its description in RNAcentral is "LSU rRNA". It matches the Rfam family "Eukaryotic large subunit ribosomal RNA", at positions 36 to 967 of the family's 3401-position model. Lineage: Eukaryota; Fungi; Ascomycota; Sordariomycetes; Hypocreales; Stachybotryaceae. The record is from RNAcentral.
UAGCAUAUCAAUAAGCGGAGGAAAAGAAACCACAGGGAUUGCCUCAGUAACGGCGAGUGAAGCGGCAACAGCUCAAAUUUGAAAUCUGGCCCUAGGCCCGAGUUGUAAUUUGCAGAGGAUGCUUUUGGCGAGGUGCCUUCCGAGUUCCCUGGAACGGGACGCCAUAGAGGGUGAGAGCCCCGUCUGGUCGGACACCGAGCCUCUGUAAAGCUCCUUUCGACGAGUCGAGUAGUUUGGGAAUGCUGCUCUAAAUGGGAGGUAUAUGUCUUCUAAAGCUAAAUACCGGCCAGAGACCGAUAGCGCACAAGUAGAGUGAUCGAAAGAUGAAAAGCACUUUGAAAAGAGAGUUAAAUAGCACGUGAAAUUGUUGAAAGGGAAGCGUUUAUGACCAGACUUGGCCCGGUUGAUCAUCCAGCGUUCUCGCUGGUGCACUCUGCCGGUCCAGGCCAGCAUCAGUUCGUCGCGGGGGAUAAAGGUUUCGGGAAUGUGGCUCCUCCGGGAGUGUUAUAGCCCGUUGCGUAAUACCCUGCGGUGGACUGAGGUCCGCGCUUCUGCAAGGAUGCUGGCGUAAUGGUCAUCAACGACCCGUCUUGAAACACGGACCAAGGAGUCGUCUUCGUAUGCGAGUGUUCGGGUGUAAAACCCCUACGCGUAAUGAAAGUGAACGCAGGUGAGAGCUUCGGCGCAUCAUCGACCGAUCCUGAUGUUCUCGGAUGGAUUUGAGUAAGAGCAUACGGGGCCGGACCCGAAAGAAGGUGAACUAUGCCUGUAUAGGGUGAAGCCAGAGGAAACUCUGGUGGAGGCUCGCAGCGGUUCUGACGUGCAAAUCGAUCGUCAAAUAUGGGCAUGGGGGCGAAAGACUAAUCGAACCUUUCUAGUAGCUGGUUUCCGCCGAAGU